RNAcentral lists this transfer RNA (65 nucleotides) under Palaestes scutellaris. RNAcentral describes it as "tRNA-Ile". Lineage: Eukaryota; Metazoa; Arthropoda; Insecta; Coleoptera; Cucujidae. The record is from RNAcentral.
AAUGAAAUGCCUGAAAAAAGGGUUAUUUUGAUAGAAUAAAUCAUGUAUUAUUUAUACUUUCAUUA